AGAAUGGGCACUCGGUAAAGCGCAUACCUUCGCAUAUCACAAGAUUGGGCAUUGAAUUAUGAACAUUUUGGCAUUAGUUGCAUGCCAAUUGGACAAAAAUGUAUCGUGCUAUGGUAAAAAAAAAGAUAUUGACCUUUCCAUGACCUUGACCUUGACCUUUGACCCGAUUGAUCCCAAAAUCUAAUCAAAUCUGUCCCGGGAUAAUAACCAAUUAUCCCACCAAAUUGCAUGCGAUUCAAGAAGAUUUUGACCUGUUCAUGACCUUUGACCUGGAACUUUGACCCGAUCGAUCCCAAAAUAUAAUCAACUGGUCCCCGGAUAAUAACCAAUCAUCCCACCAAAUGUCAUGCGAUUCGGUUCAAUACUUUUUGAGUUUUGCGAAUAACACGCAUACAAAUAAAUAAAUAAAUAAAUACACGGCGAUCAAAACAUAACCUUCCGCAUUUUCAAUGCGAAGGUAAUUAUCACAAAAACACUGAAGGUGCGUUCACACCAAAAGCAAAACUAUUUUUCGCGUCGCCCAAAACGCGUGAGUUUACUCGCUCGACCGUUCGCCGUGUUCUCGCCAUGAGCGUCCUGACGCUCCGCGAGGGGCGGGGCUUAUCUCCGUGUCUCGUCUCCGUAAAGACCGUUAUCAUCUCCUUUAUCCACCAGAAUAACUAACCGCUAGUUCUGCUUUAUAUUUGUCGAGGACGUCCCACACACUAACGCCCUCGUGUUUGGGUUGAUGACAUCACCCGUAGGCUCACUCAGCUCGGUCACUUUCACCGAUGAAGUCACUGUUACGUCUGGAAGACUUCCGCUUCCAGCGCUACGAGAGCGGAACUCGAGAGCCGAUUGGCCCGAGUUGCGAGAUGACCGCCUCAAAGUUGAAAUAUUUCAACUCGGGGCGAAAAUUGCGCCGCUGUCAACGCGUCGGCCACAUCGCGUCGCCCCAAACGCAUCGCCCGGGAAAAUAUCGCGUCUAUCGCAUCCACAAGUGUCUGUACGUUGACUUUUCAUGGGAUUCGGUCGCGCGAAAAAAUAGUUUCGCUUUUGGUGUGAACGCACCUUUAGACUUAGAAAACAACAUUUACAUUAAAAGUAAAAUAAUAAUACCUAAAUACCUUAAAUACCUAAAAUAAUAACCUAAUCUACUAUAAUUUCCUUUCUGAUUAUUGCUGCCUUAAGUUUCCUUUUGAAAUCACAUGUAUUUCUUGUUAGAGUCACAUAUGAGGGGAGCACCUCCCAGGAUGCAGCGGCUCUGGACAUUACUGAUUUCUGAAGUGCAUUGGUUCUGGGUAGAGGAAACGUGAAAGUGAAGUGUCAGGAAAGUGAAGCAAUUUCACUUUGAGUGUCAUCACAGGAUAUUUAGAAAAGAAGUAAAAUGUUCGUAACUUACUGGAUUUACAGAAAGAGUUUGAUUUUUUGGGCUGUGUGCAUUCAUUCUCACUGUGAAUUGGAAAAUAAGAUUGAUGUCGCGCUAAUAACGAGCUAAAACCAGUGAGCUUAGCAUCAUUAGCUUAGCAGGAUUUUUACACGUUUGUAUGGAUUACACACAUUACAUAUAACAUGAGUUUUACAGUGUAGGUUUUGUGACCUUUUUCCCGACUUUAAUGGUUAAGCUGCUCUUCCGCAUCUUAUAGAAGUUGAUUUUUGGGACAUACACGCAUUUUCUUUUUUUACGCAGUGUGUGAGAUGGAAAUAUCGAUCUUACCGUCAAGUCUGUAUGUUACAUAAGAAGCUAAACGAAGACACCAUCAGCUUUAAGGACAUGACCUUGUGUAAAAAAUGUUGAUUAAACAAUCAAGUUUG
This is a long non-coding RNA of Pseudoliparis swirei, 1794 nucleotides long. RefSeq lists it as uncharacterized. The transcript is spliced from 2 exons. Lineage: Eukaryota; Metazoa; Chordata; Actinopteri; Perciformes; Liparidae. The record is from RefSeq and is a predicted model, not a curated record.